Molecule: long non-coding RNA, 1775 nt
Filed under: Salmo salar (Atlantic salmon)
Lineage: Eukaryota; Metazoa; Chordata; Actinopteri; Salmoniformes; Salmonidae
Description: lncRNA (ENSSSAG00000121406.1)
Source: RNAcentral
AUUCAUUAGGUCCUAAUCUAUAGAUUUCACAUGACUGAGAAUACAGAUAUGCAUCUGUUGUUCACAGAUACCUUACAAAAAAGGUAGAGGCAUGGAUCAUAAAACCAGUCAGGUUUGGUUUGACCAUCAUUUGCCAUAUGCAGCAUGACACAUCUCCUUCACAUAGAGUGAUCCGGAUGUUGAUUGUGGCGUGUGAAAUGUUGUCCCACUCCUUUUCAAUGACUGUGAGAAGUUGCUGGGUAUUGGCGGGAACUGGAACACGUUGUCGUACACAUCGAUGCAGAUCGUCCCAAAAAUGCUCAAUGGGUGACAUGUCUGAUGAGUAUGCAGGCCAUGGAAGAGUUGGGACAUUUUGAGCUUCCAGGAAUUGUGUAUAGAUCCUUGUGACAUGCGGCUGAACAUUAUCAUGCUGAAACAUGAGGUGAUGGCGGCGGAUGAAUGGCACGACAAUGGACCUCACAGCAUCUCUGUGCACUCAAAUUGCCACCGAUAAAAUGCAAUUGUGUUCAUUGUCCAUAGAUUAUGUUUGCACAUAACAUAACAACACCGCCCCCAUGGUACACUCUGUUCACAACAUUGACACCAGCAAACCGCUAGCCAACACGAUGUCAUACACGCUGUCUGCCAGCUGCCUUGUACAGUUGAAACCGGGAUGCAUCGGUGAAGAGCACACUUCUCCAGCGUGCCAGUGACCAUUGAAGUUUUGAGGAUGGACAACACAGGUCUACACAGAUGUAGCCAACAGCGCAAUACAGGCCUAGAAGAGGAUUCUUUGUCACAUAAAGUGGAAGACUUCAGAACACUUGAAUCGCUAAACGUUUAAAAUGAGCACAGUCCUACAAGCUUUACACACAUCAAUGGACCAUAAUCGCAGCUAAAAGUGACACCAGCAAGACACUUCAGACUAAAGGCUUCUGGGUUUCUCAGAAUGACACUUCUUCUUGAUUUCUUUGUAUUAUAUCUCCAAACAGGGGCUCAGAAACAGGGGGUUACGUUUAAAGUCGUCACAUGUCCAUCACUUUUCAUGCUCAACGUGAAACAAGGCUUUUAUCACACAUUAGAAUACCUGCUGUACUUUUUAGUAAAGCCAUUGGGAAUAUGCAGAGCAGGCAAUGGAGCUCAUUGAUAUGUAAUGACUGACGACAGAUUGUCAAAUCAUUUUUGUUAAUUUCACUCAUUCCAGGUCCAUUGAACAAGCGUGGCGUGCCCACCUCUCCCAGAGAGAGGAGAAUACUCUCUGAUGUGAUAUUGUUGAACAAAUUUGAAACUGUCCUCAGUAAGAAAUUGUCACAUUGUGUGAUAUUGUACAGAGAAGUGAUGAAAUGGAGCAUUUGUCAAGGAAGGGAAUAUAAAAGAUGUGUUGGAGAAAGUUUUGCAUUUACCAGCAUCUGCACGUUUCCACCACAGUAAGAUAGAUGAGUGAAUUAGAGCCCACUGGAAUUCCACUCCUGGCUGUACACAUUUAGAUCUUUAUCAGCCUGUACGCUCCAGAUUAUUUGAUAAGAAACCAUAAAGACAGUCUAUACUUUCUCCAUUUAUGUCUAUUUUUCUUUUUAUUUCUUAUUAUUACUACAAAAAUAUAUUUCAAUGAAAAAACUGUGGAAAUCUGAUCAAAUGUAAGGAGUAAGCCAUGUAUUCUUCUGUUUAGUUGUGUAUCUUCAGUCAUUUACUGUGAACCUUUACGUUCUGUUUAGAUGUUUUUCUGUGAGUAGGACAAUGCCCUGGCUUUUGAAAAGGUUGUAGUAAUAAUAUACGAUACCAUAAAGACAGUCUAU